Molecule: ribosomal RNA, 253 nt
Filed under: uncultured bacterium
Lineage: Bacteria
Description: partial 16S ribosomal RNA
Rfam family: Bacterial small subunit ribosomal RNA
Source: RNAcentral
UACAGAGGUCCCGAGCGUUGUUCGGAUUUAUUGGGCGUAAAGAGCGUGUAGGCGGCCAAGUAAGUCCGGUGUGAAAACUCGAGGCUUAACCUCGAGAUGUCAUCGGAAACUAUUUGGCUAGAGUCCGGAAGAGGAGAGUGGAAUUCCUGGUGUAGCGGUGAAAUGCGCAGAUAUCAGGAAGAACACCUAUGGCGAAAGCAGCUCUCUGGGACGGUACUGACGCUGAGACGCGAAAGCGUGGGGAGCGAACAGG